RNAcentral lists this transfer RNA (64 nucleotides) under marine eukaryotic metagenome. It matches the Rfam family "tRNA", at positions 5 to 66 of the family's 71-position model. From Rfam's summary of the family: Transfer RNA (tRNA) molecules are approximately 80 nucleotides in length. Their secondary structure includes four short double-helical elements and three loops (D, anti-codon, and T loops). Further hydrogen bonds mediate the characteristic L-shaped molecular structure. tRNAs have two regions of fundamental functional importance: the anti-codon, which is responsible for specific mRNA codon recognition, and the 3' end, to which the tRNAs corresponding amino acid is attached (by aminoacyl-tRNA synthetases). tRNAs cope with the degeneracy of the genetic code in two manners: having more than one tRNA (with a specific anti-codon) for a particular amino acid; and 'wobble' base-pairing, i.e. permitting non-standard base-pairing at the 3rd anti-codon position. The record is from RNAcentral.
GGUGUGGCCAAACGGUAAGGCAGCGGCCUGUUAAGCCGACGAGUGAAGGUUCGAUUCCUUCCAC